AGCAACCACAAGGAAGAGGAAAAGAAGCAGGCACGGACUGACAGAAUGGCCCGCACGAAACAGACCGCCCGUAAAUC
RNAcentral lists this non-coding RNA (77 nucleotides) under uncultured Pelagophyceae. The record is from RNAcentral. Lineage: Eukaryota; Pelagophyceae.